AGUGAACGCUGGCGGUAGGCCUAACACAUGCAAGUCGAACGGCAGCACAGUAAGAGCUUGCUCUUACGGGUGGCGAGUGGCGGACGGGUGAGGAAUACAUCGGAAUCUACUUUUUCGUGGGGGAUAACGUAGGGAAACUUACGCUAAUACCGCAUACGACCUACGGGUGAAAGCAGGGGAUCUUCGGACCUUGCGCGAUUGAAUGAGCCGAUGUCGGAUUAGCUAGUUGGCGGGGUAAAGGCCCAACAAGGCAACGAUCCGUAGCUGGUCUGAGAGGAUGAUCAGCCACACUGGAAGUGAGACACGGUCCAGACUCCUACGGGAGGCAGCAGUGGGGAAUAUUGGACAAUGGGCGCAAGCCUGAUCCAGCCAUACCGCGUGGGUGAAGAAGGCCUUCGGGUUGUAAAGCCCUUUUGUUGGGAAAGAAAAGCAGCAGGUUAAUACCCCGCUGUUCUGACGGUACCCAAAGAAUAAGCACCGGCUAACUUCGUG
RNAcentral lists this ribosomal RNA (492 nucleotides) under uncultured bacterium. RNAcentral's name for it is "partial 16S ribosomal RNA". It matches the Rfam family "Bacterial small subunit ribosomal RNA", at positions 29 to 507 of the family's 1533-position model. The record is from RNAcentral.